CACAAGUGAUUCAGAUAUGCUUUCCCUCUAAAAAAAAAAAAAAGGUCAAGCUCUGCAGCAUUUUCCCCUGUCCCGCACCACCCGACUCCCUGACUCACCAGCAGUCUUGAAAGUGGCAGGCCAGUGUGGGGGACCUUGGCUCUGGCGGGAGCGGAGCAGUCUUUCUUCGCAAAAAGUUGUCUGUUUUCACCUGUCUGGAGGCUGCCUGAAGACAGGAUGCACGGUACUUCGCUUUGUAAGGACUAAAUUGGAACUCUCUCAGGAAGGAAGAGGCACAACGCUGAGAGCAGUCCUCAAAAACACUGACAGACAAAAAAAAAACCGUCUCUGCCACAAGGGGUAAACGAUUCCAGCUGAAGCAAACAGUAAACAUGACGAAGCCGGGGAGGAAAAGCUGAGCAAAGACACUCUUCAGGAGAAGUAGGACAUCGAAAAGCUCCAGCAUCUCCUGGAGAAGGCGACCGUGUAGCCGGGAGUUUAAAAGCCAUGCACAUGCCCAGGGCAGGGCGCAUGCUCAGAAACGACCUGAGCCCACCUCAGUGCUCUUCGCCUGGGCUGAUCUUGAGCGCUGCCGUGGAGUGGCCAGCUGCCUAGCUAAGGGUCAGAAGAGCAACCCAACACAGGGCCAAUCUGCAAAGCCAGGAAGGUCAAGGUGAAAGGUGUGUCCUUUGGACCGUCCAGGGGAAGCUGAGUGGAUCUACAUGUGGCUUACAACAGAAGAAAAUCAGAAGUCUUUGCAACGGAGGCUGAUGCAUUUUUAGAAGCCAGAAGAGAGAAGACUUACUAGAUGGUUUUCAUUUUUGAUCAUUGAUCCUGACAUAAUAGAAUGUGACCUACGUAGAGAAGACAAAAGGCAGAAAUACAACACAACCAAAGAAUACACGCUGGAAAAGGAAUCACUGAAGAAAAACGGAUAGGAAGCAUAUCUCAUGUUUUUGUGUGUGCAGGCAUACCUCGGAGAUGUUGUGGGUUUGGUACCUGACUGCUGUAAUAAAGCUAAUAUCACAAUAAACCAAG
RNAcentral lists this long non-coding RNA (1017 nucleotides) under Equus caballus (horse). RNAcentral describes it as "lncRNA (ENSECAG00000042103.2)". Lineage: Eukaryota; Metazoa; Chordata; Mammalia; Perissodactyla; Equidae. The record is from RNAcentral.